This 72-nucleotide transfer RNA is filed under the name Tupanvirus deep ocean. RNAcentral's name for it is "tRNA-Thr". It matches the Rfam family "tRNA". Rfam says of the family: Transfer RNA (tRNA) molecules are approximately 80 nucleotides in length. Their secondary structure includes four short double-helical elements and three loops (D, anti-codon, and T loops). Further hydrogen bonds mediate the characteristic L-shaped molecular structure. tRNAs have two regions of fundamental functional importance: the anti-codon, which is responsible for specific mRNA codon recognition, and the 3' end, to which the tRNAs corresponding amino acid is attached (by aminoacyl-tRNA synthetases). tRNAs cope with the degeneracy of the genetic code in two manners: having more than one tRNA (with a specific anti-codon) for a particular amino acid; and 'wobble' base-pairing, i.e. permitting non-standard base-pairing at the 3rd anti-codon position. The record is from RNAcentral. Lineage: Varidnaviria; Bamfordvirae; Nucleocytoviricota; Megaviricetes; Imitervirales; Mimiviridae. RNAcentral also lists the same sequence under 1 other name.
GGCUUUAUAGUUCAAUGGUAGAACAUUCGCCUUGUAAGCGAAAGAUCUGAGUUCGAUUCUCAGUUGAGCCAC